UACGGAGGAUGCGAGCGUUAUCCGGAUUUAUUGGGUUUAAAGGGUGCGUAGGCGGGAUGCCAAGUCAGCGGUAAAAAUGCGGUGCUCAACGCCGUCGAGCCGUUGAAACUGGCGUUCUUGAGUGGGCGAGAAGUAUGCGGAAUGCGUGGUGUAGCGGUGAAAUGCAUAGAUAUCACGCAGAACUUCGAUUGCGAAGGCAGCAUACCGGCGCCCUACUGACGCUGAGGCACGAAAGCGUGGGUAUCGAACAGG
This 252-nucleotide ribosomal RNA is filed under the name uncultured bacterium. RNAcentral's name for it is "partial 16S ribosomal RNA". It matches the Rfam family "Bacterial small subunit ribosomal RNA", at positions 524 to 776 of the family's 1533-position model. The record is from RNAcentral.